UUUGGUUUCAAAUCUAUUUUAUUUGAUUGAAUGAUAAAGGAACAAAAUUCUCUCCAUACUACUGGGAUUGCCUGCUUUUCAGUCCCGAUAAGGAGCCCGGUGCAGCAUGGGAUUCAAUAAUUUGAGUUGCUUAACCAAAGCAGCUCAUCCCAGCUGGGCUGUAUGACCCAGCCUUGCACACUUUGUUAAAAAGGAUUGCAGGAUGGACUUAAUUUUUAAGUUAUCUUCAUUUGGUGAGUAAUGUUUUUUUCAAUAACCAUAAUAAUAAUUAUAAUAAUAGGCCCUGCUUCAUACAUACAUUUAUUUCUUACGGUAAUGGUGCCACAACUGUGCAUCAAAUUAGAUAGACCAUGAAUAUUAUUGGUUUGUUGAAGUAGCAAAAAAUUAGAUAUUCUAAAUAUUCAGUAUACAUGUACUUCUUAUUAACAUUUUAAAUUUGACAGAAUAAAAGCAUGUUGUGCUUAGAGCAUAAGCUGUACCGAUCAGGAUGAAUUAAUGUGUGUGUGCAUUUCCCGAGGGGCUGAAUUUGAUGUUUGAAGUCCAGCAGAGGACCUUACUGUGGAAAGCAGGUUUCAAAGGAAAGUCGAAGCCCAACCUGUCGAAGCAGGACACAGCAGUCUGACGUGUGGCCUUGCGAAUCCUGUUUUGUCAAGCCUCAUGUGUCCAGAUGCUACCCUCUGCGUGUGAGAUCAUGCAGUUCGACCUAAUCCCUGAGCGCCGGGCUGUUAAAAGAAAGUUUUAUCUGCACAUGGUGGAGUAGGAGGCUGGGGAGGAGGCCCAGUGAUGCUGCACCACAAACAGCCUGGAACACAGAACUCUACUGAGGCCUCCACCUCAGAUCUGUGCCACUGUGCUCCGACUCUGUGUCACCUCAGGGCCCUCCACGUGGUUUAUGGCAGACACUUGACUGGUGUCAAUCAGCUAUCUGCUACCACCCAUUCGCACCCUUAACCUUGUCACCACACACACAAAGUACUUGAUUUCAGAAUAAAACAGUAAUGUCUUGUACAAGCUGCAGCGAUACCUCCACUGGAUAAGACUUUUGAUAAACAACCCUUAUUGCUGAUGUGUUCAGAUGGAAUAUAUUUCAAGGGAAUAGAUGAAUAUUCUAGACAUUUUACUUUCAUUCCAGCUAAACAUACAGUACCAGUCAAAAGUUUGGACACAC
Acanthopagrus latus (yellowfin seabream) is the source of this 1168-nucleotide long non-coding RNA. RefSeq lists it as uncharacterized. The transcript has 3 exons. Lineage: Eukaryota; Metazoa; Chordata; Actinopteri; Spariformes; Sparidae. The record is from RefSeq and is a predicted model, not a curated record.